Molecule: ribosomal RNA, 403 nt
Filed under: Verrucomicrobiota bacterium
Lineage: Bacteria; Pseudomonadati; Verrucomicrobiota
Description: Verrucomicrobia bacterium partial 16S ribosomal RNA
Rfam family: Bacterial small subunit ribosomal RNA
Source: RNAcentral
UGGGGAAUAUUGCACAAUGGGGGAAACCCUGAUGCAGCGACGCCGCGUGAGCGAAGAAGGCUUUCGAGUCGUAAAGCUCUGUCCUAUGAGAAGAUAAUGACGGUAUCAUAGGAGGAAGCCCUGGCUAAAUACGUGCCAGCAGCCGCGGUAAUACGUAUGGGGCGAGCGUUGUCCGGAAUUAUUGGGCGUAAAGGGUACGUAGGCGGUUUUUUAAGUCAGGUGUCAAAGCGUGGAGCUUAACUCCAUUAAGCACUUGAAACUGAAAGACUUGAGUGAAGGAGAGGAAAGUGGAAUUCCUAGUGUAGCGGUGAAAUGCGUAGAUAUUAGGAGGAAUACCGGUGGCGAAGGCGGCUAUCUGGACAGUAACUGACGCUGAGGCGCGAAAGCGUGGGGAGCAAACAGG